RNAcentral lists this transfer RNA (92 nucleotides) under Bacteroidia bacterium. Its description in RNAcentral is "tRNA-Ser". It matches the Rfam family "tRNA". From Rfam's summary of the family: Transfer RNA (tRNA) molecules are approximately 80 nucleotides in length. Their secondary structure includes four short double-helical elements and three loops (D, anti-codon, and T loops). Lineage: Bacteria; Pseudomonadati; Bacteroidota; Bacteroidia. The record is from RNAcentral.
GGAGAAGUGGCUGAGCGGUUUAAAGCGUGCCCUUGCUAAGGGUAAGUUCGGGUUAAACUGAACCGGAGGUUCAAAUCCUCUCUUCUCCGCAA